UGAACGCUGGCGGCGUGCUUAACACAUGCAAGUCGAACGAAGCACUUUUUCUUGAUUCUUCGGAUGAAGGAGAUAGUGACUGAGUGGCGGACGGGUGAGUAACGCGUGAGCAAUCUGCCUUUCAGAGGGGGAUAACAUUCUGAAAAGAAUGCUAAUACCGCAUAACGUAUUGAGAUGGCAUCUUCUUAAUACCAAAGGAGCAAUCCGCUGAAAGAUGAGCUCGCGUCUGAUUAGAUAGUUGGUGGGGUAACGGCCUACCAAGUCGACGAUCAGUAGCUGUGCUGAGAGGCAGAACAGCCACAUUGGGACUGAGAUACGGCCCAGACUCCUACGGGAGGCAGCAGUCGGGAAUAUUGCACAAUGGAGGAAACUCUGAUGCAGUGACGCCGCGUAUAGGAAGAAGGUUUUCGGAUUGUAAACUAUUGUAGACAGGGAAGAAACAAGACAGUACCUGUAAAGUAAGCCCCGGCUAACUAUGUG
RNAcentral lists this ribosomal RNA (480 nucleotides) under uncultured bacterium. RNAcentral describes it as "bacterial SSU rRNA". It matches the Rfam family "Bacterial small subunit ribosomal RNA", at positions 30 to 507 of the family's 1533-position model. The record is from RNAcentral.